RNAcentral lists this ribosomal RNA (502 nucleotides) under uncultured bacterium. RNAcentral describes it as "partial 16S ribosomal RNA". It matches the Rfam family "Bacterial small subunit ribosomal RNA", at positions 28 to 507 of the family's 1533-position model. The record is from RNAcentral.
GACGAACGCUGGCGGCGUGCCUAAUACAUGCAAGUCGAACGAACCGCGACUGAGUGCUUGCACUUGGUCAAGGUGAGUGGCGAACGGGUGAGUAACACGUGGGUAACCUACCUCAUAGUGGGGGGUAACAGUCGGAAACGACUGCUAAUACCGCAUAGGACAUAGGAUCACAUGAUCCAGUGAGGAAAGGUGGCGCAAGCUAUCGCUAAGAGAUGGACCCGCGGGGGAUUAGCUAGUUGGUAGGGUAAAGGCCUACCAAGGCGAUGAUGCAUAGCCGACCUGAGAGGGUGAUCGGCCACAUUGGGACUGAGACACGGCCCUAACUCCGACGGGAGGCACAAGUAGGGAAUCUUCCGCAAUGGACGCAAGUCUGCAGGAGCAACGCCGCGUGAGUGAAGAAGGUCUUCGGAUCGUAAAGCUCUGUUGUUAGAGAAGACCAGCGCAUAGAGUAACUGCUAUGCGUGUGACGGUAUCUAACCAGAAAGCCACGGCUAACUACGUG